GACGAACGCUGGCGGCGUGCUUAACACAUGCAAGUCGAACGGAAAGGCCCUGCUUUUGUGGGGUGCUCGAGUGGCGAACGGGUGAGUAACACGUGAGUAACCUGCCCUUGACUUUGGGAUAACUUCAGGAAACUGGGGCUAAUACCGGAUAGGAGCUCCUGCUGCAUGGUGGGGGUUGGAAAGUUUCGGCGGUUGGGGAUGGACUCGCGGCUUAUCAGCUUGUUGGUGGGGUAGUGGCUUACCAAGGCUUUGACGGGUAGCCGGCCUGAGAGGGUGAACGGCCACAUUGGGACUGAGAUACGGCGCAGACUCCUACGGGAGGCAGCAGUGGGGAAUAUUGCACAAUGGGCGGAAGCCUGAUGCAGCAACGCCGCGUGCGGGAUGACGGCCUUCGGGUUGUAAACCGCUUUCGCCUGUGCCGAAGCGUGAGUGACGGUAAUGGGUAAAGAAGCACCGGCUAACUACGUG
This 468-nucleotide ribosomal RNA is filed under the name uncultured bacterium. Its description in RNAcentral is "partial 16S ribosomal RNA". It matches the Rfam family "Bacterial small subunit ribosomal RNA", at positions 28 to 507 of the family's 1533-position model. The record is from RNAcentral.